UCUGUAGGUGGCCCGCUAAGUCACACGUGAAAUCCCUCAGCUUAACUGGGGAACUGCGUGUGAGACUGGCAGGCUUGAGUGCAGGAGAGGAACGCGGAAUUCCAGGUGUAGCGGUGAAAUGCGUAGAUAUCUGGAGGAACACCGGUGGCGAAGGCGGCGUUCUGGACUGUAUCUGACACUGAUAGACGAAAGCCAGGGGAGCAAACG
Molecule: ribosomal RNA, 207 nt
Filed under: uncultured bacterium
Lineage: Bacteria
Description: partial 16S ribosomal RNA
Rfam family: Bacterial small subunit ribosomal RNA
Source: RNAcentral